Molecule: ribosomal RNA, 430 nt
Filed under: Campylobacter gracilis
Lineage: Bacteria; Pseudomonadati; Campylobacterota; Epsilonproteobacteria; Campylobacterales; Campylobacteraceae
Description: bacterial SSU rRNA
Rfam family: Bacterial small subunit ribosomal RNA
Source: RNAcentral
AGUGAACGCUGGCGGCGUGCCUAAUACAUGCAAGUCGAACGGAAUUUAAGAGAGCUUGCUCUUUUAAAUUUAGUGGCGCACGGGUGAGUAAUAUAUAGCUAAUCUGCCCCUUGCUGGAGGACAACAGUUAGAAAUGACUGCUAAUACUCCAUACUCCUUUUUACCAUAAGAUAAAUCGGGAAAGAAUUUCGGCAAGGGAUGAGACUAUAUCGUAUCAGCUAGUCGGUGGGGUAACGGCCUACCGAGGCUAUGACGCGUAACUGGUCUGAGAGGAUGAUCAGUCACAUUGGAACUGAGACACGGUCCAAACUCCUACGGGAGGCAGCAGUAGGGAAUAUUGCGCAAUGGGGGAAACCCUGACGCAGCAACGCCGCGUGGAGGAUGACACUUUUCGGAGCGUAAACUCCUUUUGUUAGGGAAGAAUAAUGAC